CUUUGGUGCACUUUCAGUACCGAGGACAGCGACAGGGAGGGCUAGAAAAGGGUUUAAAACAUGGUAUUCCGAAUAGGAUAAACGGAUCAAGGACCCGGUUCGAAUCACAAAUCAAGUGGAAAAUCGUAGGCUAUUUUUGAAGAAUAUUUUCAGAAGAAACGAAAGUCAACUCGGCUGCGACCAUGAAUGGUAUUAUUCCCAUAAACAGAACCGCCCUGAACUUCACGGGUCUGGGCCAGGGGUUCCCGUACCUCACGGUGACCGAGGAGCCUCUGUACCGGCAGUACCGGCCGGCGCCCCGGGACCUCAUCCCCCUGCCCCGGGCGGUCCUCUACCUGCUGAUGGCCGCCCUGGUGGUGGUAGGGGUCGCCUACGCCAUAGUGGGACAUCUGAUCAAAGACCUGGCCAUCGACAUCACAGAGUGCGUCCUGGGCCCCACUGGCGAGGAGGAGAAGGAGCAGCAGGAGGUGAAACUGCAGCACAGCGCCCCCUGCCCCGCCCAGUCGGUACUGCAGCUGGCCCACGGCAACGCCUUCCACGUGUGGGACACGGACAACAUGGUCAUCUCGCUGCCCGCCGCCGAUGACAGCGCUCCCUGCAGCCCCCUGAUACACGGCGCCAUGCCCUACAUGCCCUCCUUCUUCCCCGGCCACGGCCACAGCCCCCCCCAUCACUACACCGGGCUGGCCUCGCCCCCCUCCCCCACCAGCCCCCAGCCAAUCAGGGAUCAUAGGAUCUAG
RNAcentral lists this long non-coding RNA (740 nucleotides) under Gadus morhua (Atlantic cod). RNAcentral describes it as "lncRNA (ENSGMOG00000024634.1)". Lineage: Eukaryota; Metazoa; Chordata; Actinopteri; Gadiformes; Gadidae. The record is from RNAcentral.